GGAGACUAUAUUAUCUUAGAUGAAUAGUACAAAUUGGGGAAGCUUACCCAAUAGGCAUUUAUUUCUCAGAGCUCUAGCAAGUAGAUUGCAUUACUGAGGCACUGACAAAUUUUAUUUGGCCUCUUCCUGGCUUGAUUUUUGUGUUGACUUGUCUCUCUGCAUGUGUAUGUAUACAGAGAGAAAGAAAGAGUUAUAGAAGAAAGAAGAGGAGAAAGAGGAGGAGGGAAGGAGGAGAGAAAAGAAGUUGUGCUUAGGAACUCUGAGGUUCAAUGUGUGCUACCCAUAGAUUCAUGAGUGUGUGCUACCAAUGUGGUUGUGACAGCAUGAACAAGACCUGUGCAGGCUUAAUUCUAGAGUCUACUUUCAACACAUUUAAACAUCUCAGGAAGAGGACAAGAGGACUUCUGGAGUGGACUAUGGUGCACUCCUUCAAAUAUACUGCAGAGAGGCAUGAAAGAAUGGGCUAAGGCCCCACCCAACACUGCUUUGGAGGAAGCGAGAAGCUGUUCCAAUCCAGCAGCUGAUAUUUACACCUCUGAAUAAUGUGUGAAGGCAAGUGUGGAACCAGUAGCAGAUGACUCCAGAGAAAUCAGGAAAUGAGGCCUUUGACAAAGAUGCAGGCUAUUUAUGUGAAACUGGGUAACUGCUAAAAAUACAUCCACGGUACCAAAUGCUCAUUUCAGAUACAAGAACUGUACAAAGAACAGAGUCAUUUUCAUCCAUCUCCACCUAGGCUGCUGGCCUAGGUAUUUAUCAUCUUCAGUAAACAUCACAAUUUCCCAGACCAGAAAUGGCAGGCAAAUCUAGUCCCAGCUCCUGAGUGUAGACUUCACCUUAAGUGGAUGGAAAAAAGAGAAAACAAAGAAUAAUGUUCAUUUCCAGUUUGAUGCUUUAUGAUGCUGGGAGUUCAUUCGGGUGACUAAUAGCACAGAGGGCAGGUGGAACUCCAGUUUGCAGGAGUCGUGCCUAAAAUUGAUUGUAGAAGGGACAUGAUACACACUAGGUGAGAGAUUUCAUGCAACCAAACAAUUCGACUGGACUUUUCAUAUUUAAAUUCAUCUACACAGAAAAGACUAACCAAUGCUACAAGUUGUAGAAAAAGCAUGCUUGAUUGAGACAAAUGGUCUGCUCCUAAUUGAGAUGAUGUUUUUCAAGACAAUUCAGGAAAUACCUGAAUUAUAAAUACUUGUCAAACUUUAUAUAUACAGUUUCCCUACACACAUAUACAAGCACAUUUUAUGAUAAGAUAUAACAUAAAUCAAUCACAGAAAGAGAUUAACAACAAAAACUGACAAUAAAAGAACAAUUACAACAAUCGAGAUUGAGCCCUCAGUUAUAACAAUAAAAUAGAAUAUUGUCAUCAAUCAAACAUUGCCUCUCUUACUUUUGAGGUCAUUGUAAGUAAAAUAAGGAUUAAUCAAAUACAAACACUGAAAUACCACGGUUUAUCCAAUACAGAUGGGACUUCCGAGCAGCAAACAGGUAGUAUAUGCAGUUUGAAACAAUGGCCAAAGGAAUGGCUUAUGUUCAAAUAGAGCAGCGGUAGGUUUCAUCAUGGACCAACAGUGCUCACUCAAGGCAUCCAGGACACAAGAAAGGGGUUUUGUCCCUCAAUAGUUUAGGUUAUAUGUAAGAAAAAUAGACAUCUGAAGGAGUACCGUCAAUAAAGCCAGCCAUUAACAUUUAGAGUGAUUUUAGCCAUACUUAGCAGCUUUUAAUAGGACUUACCUGAUGCUCUCAAUUCUGUUUGUUUGUGUGUGUGUGAGAGAGAGAGGGGGGGGGAGGCGGGAGAGGAGGGGAAGAGAGAGAAAGAAAGAAAGAGAGAGAGAGAGAGAGAGAGAGAGAGAGAUCUGGACAGUAAAAUAUGGGAAAUUGAAGCUGUAUUCUGCCCUCAGAUAGCCUGACAUAGCAACUGAGUGCCUUCUGCACAGGAACCCUUCUCCACACUGUACAUUGCCUUCCAUUUGUAGCUCUGUUGCUGGAUCCUGAGUUGGGAGCAGAGAGAAGGGGCAAAGCCUGGCAGCUCAAAGUUCUACACUCGUAUCCCCAAAGAUCCAGAACUGUGGAAGAGCAGGGGCUUCUCAUUACCCACCUAACAGCAGGAAAACCUCAGGGGAGGACUAUAGUUGACCCAGCUAAGGCACAUGUCUACCCAGUGGGCCAUCUGCUCAAAGGCAUAGAACUGUAGCUGUCCAGUGGAGGCAGCAGGCUCUUGCCACAGCAGGUGGAGUAGUACUCACGUGUGUGCUGGAGAGACUUGAGACUCAGUAGGAAGAAACUGGACAGAGUAUUGUUCACAUCUGACCUCAGUGUAGAAAUGGAAUUGGGGCUUAUAAUAAAGUAAAAGCUAUGAUAAUUGUAUGCUUGAAGAUAUUGAUAAAAGUAGAUUGUCAUUAGAAUGAAUCUACCCACUUCAGGAUAGAGAUAACAAAGAGUUAAUAUCUUAUGUAGACAUACUUUUUUUUUUUUUUUUUUUUUUUUUUUUGGGCCAGGGCAGUGGCAGGGGUUGGGGAUUUUUACUUAAGGGAAUGAUUUUUUUUUUUUUUUUUUUUUUUUUUUUUGGCAUGGUGCAAAAUGUUUACUCGGGCACACUGAAUAUUUUGUGAAAGAAAAUAAGAAUAAGCUUCAUAGUGUUAUUAUAGGAAGACAAAAAUAUACAAACAAACACCCCAACAAAACAAAACCACAGAGAUAUAGUGAAGUGUCAAGACCACUUACUGAGCCUGUG
This 2728-nucleotide long non-coding RNA is filed under the name Mus musculus (house mouse). RNAcentral's name for it is "predicted gene, 47403". The record is from RNAcentral. Lineage: Eukaryota; Metazoa; Chordata; Mammalia; Rodentia; Muridae.